CAUUCUUUGUACUAAAUCUUGGUAUUUGCUCUAUACAUGAGUGGGUUGUGAAGUUUUCCAAAAUAAUAUCAUUCUUAAAUUUACUCUAUUCAUGUUAUCACAUGUCAGUAUGUGCCUAUUGUUUUCUCUUUUUGGUGGCCUUUAUGAAGAAUGUAAAUUCUGUUAAUGGCAUAUUUGAAAUUACUAAGGCAGGCGGUGAAUUCUUUCAUUAGUUAAGAGAAUGAAUAGACCUACAGUUGAGUGGCAGUAUGCUGGAAACAUAAUCUAUUACAUUGAUAGCGGAAAACUUAUUGCAGAAGUUAAAAGUGGAGGUAUGUCACAUACUGUUUUCUGGUCACAGAGAGGCGAUUCUACUCUUUUGAACCUUGAACCACUACAUUUUCCUCAUGAAUGUGGCUCAAGGUUACUCCACAUGCUUUCUUUUUCGAGGCAGGGAGCAUGGCGUGGUCAUUAUGAAGGCUUUUUUUGUUGAUUUUGGAAACUCUCUCAUGCAUUUCCUCAAAUCUCUGCGCAAGAAACACUUGGGUUAUGGUCACGGCUUGAAGCCAUAUGAAGUGUGACGAUGGCAUAUGAAUUGGUAUACAUGUUGCAACAUUGAGUUUUCUUGUAAUAGGUUGUGAUAUUUUUUCACUUAGAUCUAAGUAUUUUACACUUUUUCUACGAAGGUUGUUCUUUGUUUUAUCCAGCUAGAAUUGUCAUUACAAGAUUGACUUAUGUAAACAAGUACAAUAAUUGUUCAACAAAAGUUAAGUUAACCAAGAAGACAUGUGACGUGUGUAAUUUGCUUCUAGCAGCUCCUAAUUAUAAUGCCUCCUUUGUUACAUUAUAUAGUUCAUUGAGAUAUGUAAGCUUUACUAAUUUUUGUUA
This is a long non-coding RNA of Solanum tuberosum (potato), 867 nucleotides long. RefSeq lists it as uncharacterized. The transcript has 2 exons. The record is from RefSeq and is a predicted model, not a curated record. NCBI's taxonomy places the organism in Eukaryota, Viridiplantae, Streptophyta, Magnoliopsida, Solanales, Solanaceae.